RNAcentral lists this ribosomal RNA (466 nucleotides) under uncultured bacterium. Its description in RNAcentral is "bacterial SSU rRNA". It matches the Rfam family "Bacterial small subunit ribosomal RNA", at positions 32 to 507 of the family's 1533-position model. The record is from RNAcentral.
GACAACGCUGGCGGCGUGCCUAACACAUGCAAGUCGAACGGGGGUAUUUAUUUCGAUGAAUACCUUAGUGGCGAACGGGUGAGUAACGCGUGAGCAACCUAUCCUUAAGAGGGGGAUAACAUCUGGAAACAGAUGCUAAUACCGCAUAAGACCACACUGCCGCAUGGCAGAGGGGUCAAAGGAGCAAUCCGUUUAAGGAGGGGCUCGCGUCCCAUUAGAUAGUUGGUGAGGUAACAGCUCACCAAGUCAGCGAUGGGUAGCCGAGCUGAGAGGCUGAUCGGCCACACUGGAACUGAGACACGGUCCAGACUCCUACGGGAGGCAGCAGUGGGGAAUAUUGGGCAAUGGGGGGAACCCUGACCCAGCAACGCCGCGUGAGGGAAGAAGGCCUUCGGGUUGUAAACCUCUGUCAUUAGGGAAGAAGAAAGUGACGGUACCUAAUGAGGAAGCCCCGGCUAACUACGUG